Cyanistes caeruleus (blue tit) is the source of this 561-nucleotide long non-coding RNA. RefSeq lists it as uncharacterized. The record is from RefSeq and is a predicted model, not a curated record. Lineage: Eukaryota; Metazoa; Chordata; Aves; Passeriformes; Paridae.
UCUCCCGGCGGGGUCAGCGGGAAGCGCUGCGUCCCUCAUGCGCAGGAAACCGGUGAUGAUUGAGGCGGCUGCAACAGCUGCGCCUUCCCCCGCCACGAUACGGCGAGGCUCCCUCAGGGCCGGUGCCGCUUUCCCCCGGCGCUGAGCGGCUGCGGCGGAAGGAACGAGCCAGCCUGUCAGUGGACAAAAAAUGAACCAGCCAAGAUGGUGUGACUUUAAAAAUAAAGGGUAAUCCUUCAGAAAAAGGCUGCUUAAGCAAGCUUCAGACACCUCUAACUUGAAGCAGCAGUGGUGUAACCAGGCUUUGAGGCGUGGCUGAACACCAUCCCAGUAUUUCCCACUUUUCCCGAGGCCGUGCAGACCCGGAGGAGCCGCGGGCCAGAUUAUGCCUUGAGCUGCAGAACGUCUGACAAACGUGGCAACUGAGAACUGGUUGGCAGCAUCCACAUCUGAUGGUUUGGAGAUUCCUAAAACUUGAUCAUCUGUGUUUUCUCUACAUGGUUAUGAAGGAUUUAAAUAAAAAAAAAACACUAAAUAAAGAUGCCACCUACAAGACUGAAA